Molecule: ribosomal RNA, 468 nt
Filed under: uncultured bacterium
Lineage: Bacteria
Description: partial 16S ribosomal RNA
Rfam family: Bacterial small subunit ribosomal RNA
Source: RNAcentral
GACGAACGCUGGCGGCGUGCUUAACACAUGCAAGUCGAACGGAAAGGCCCUGCUUUUGUGGGGUGCUCGAGUGGCGAACGGGUGAGUAACACGUGAGUAACCUGCCCUUGACUUUGGGAUAACUUCAGGAAACUGGGGCUAAUACCGGAUAGGAGCUCCUGCUGCAUGGUGGGGGUUGGAAAGUUUCGGCGGUUGGGGAUGGACUCGCGGCUUAUCAGCUUGUUGGUGGGGUAGUGGCUUACCAAGGCUUUGACGGGUAGCCGGCCUGAGAGGGUGACCGGCCACAUUGGGAUUGAGAUACGGCCCAGACUCCUACGGGAGGCAGCAGUGGGGAAUAUUGCACAAUGGGCGGAAGCAUGAUGCAGCAACGCCGCGUGCGGGAUGACGGCCUUCGGGUUGUAAACCGCUUUCGCCUGUGACGAAGCGUGAGUGACGGUAAUGGGUAAAGAAGCACCGGCUAACUACGUG